GUCUUAUAGUCAAAUUAUGAUAUUAGAAUGCAAUUCUAAAGUUACAUUAAGUUAAGGUUU
Molecule: transfer RNA, 60 nt
Filed under: Xenophyes cascus
Lineage: Eukaryota; Metazoa; Arthropoda; Insecta; Hemiptera; Peloridiidae
Description: tRNA-Cys(gca)
Source: RNAcentral